Molecule: ribosomal RNA, 260 nt
Filed under: uncultured bacterium
Lineage: Bacteria
Description: partial 16S ribosomal RNA
Rfam family: Bacterial small subunit ribosomal RNA
Source: RNAcentral
CGAAGGGGGGCUAGCGUUGUUCGGAAUUUACUGGGGCGUAAAGCGCACGUAGGCGGAUUGUUAAGUUAGGGGGUGAAAUCCCGGGGGCUCAACCCCGGAACUGCCUUUAAUACUGGCGAUCUAGAGUCCGAGAGAGGUGAGUGGAAUUCCGAGUGUAGAGGUGAAAUUCGUAGAUAUUCGGAGGAACACCAGUGGCGAAGGCGGCUCACUGGCUCGGUACUGACGCUGAGGUGCGAAAGCGUGGGGGAGCAAACAGGAUU